GUCUACGGCCAUACCACCCUGAACGCGCCCGAUCUCGUCUGAUCUCAGAAGCUAAGCAGGGUCGGGCCUGGUUAGUACUUGGAUGGGAGACCAGCUGAGCAGAGAGCCCAACGUGGGUC
RNAcentral lists this ribosomal RNA (119 nucleotides) under Neogale vison (American mink). Lineage: Eukaryota; Metazoa; Chordata; Mammalia; Carnivora; Mustelidae. The record is from RNAcentral.